Molecule: transfer RNA, 83 nt
Organism: Pisolithus microcarpus 441
Lineage: Eukaryota; Fungi; Basidiomycota; Agaricomycetes; Boletales; Pisolithaceae
Rfam family: tRNA
About the family: Transfer RNA (tRNA) molecules are approximately 80 nucleotides in length.
Source: Rfam
GGGUAGUUAGCGCAGUGGUAGCGCGUAUGCUUUGCAUUCGCAGCAUUUGUAUAAGGUCCAGGGUUCAAUCCCCUGACUAUCCA